AACGAACGCUGGCGGCAUGCCUAACACAUGCAAGUCGAACGAGACCUUCGGGUCUAGUGGCGCACGGGUGCGUAACGCGUGGGAACCUGCCCUUAGGUUCGGAAUAACUCCCCGAAAGGGGUGCUAAUACCGGAUAAUGUCUUCGGACCAAAGAUUUAUCGCCUUUGGAUGGGCCCGCGUUGGAUUAGCUAGUUGGUAGGGUAAAAGCCUACCAAGGCGACGAUCCAUAGCUGGUUUGAGAGGAUGAUCAGCCACACUGGGACUGAGACACGGCCCAGACUCCUACGGGAGGCAGGAGUGGGGAAUAUUGGAAAAUGGGCGGAAGGCUGAUCCAGCAAUGCCGCGUGAGUGAUGAAGGCAUUAGGGUUGUAAAGCUCUUUUAACCGGGAUGAUAAUGACAGUACCGGGAGAAUAAGCCCCGGCUAACUCCGUG
RNAcentral lists this ribosomal RNA (433 nucleotides) under uncultured bacterium. Its description in RNAcentral is "partial 16S ribosomal RNA". It matches the Rfam family "Bacterial small subunit ribosomal RNA", at positions 29 to 507 of the family's 1533-position model. The record is from RNAcentral.